UCGAAUCGCAUCAACUUGAUACCAAAGCGCCGCCGGUAACGUCACCGCGCGAUCCCGGCCGGACCUCGAGCGGGAACUGCGGGAAGCGGAAGCCUGGCGUUCGAGAGGCGAUCUGACAGUCGUGGAACAACAACAAACACCACUUAAUUGCUACUACCGCCUAAUUGACAUCAUCGAUGCGCGGCGCCUCGGUAAGCGAAACGAUGAAACACCCGGAUGAACAGCGCGCCAAUAACUACGGCGCCGGUCGACUCUCGAGAUUGUCGCGGCAACCGACGCGGCGUCGGUUAGCGAGAUGUUACGCGCGAUCGCACACGCUUACCCUCUAACCUACACGACGACGAUCGACGCUGUGAUUUGACGCGCCACGACGUUCGCCCGCAGUUCGCCGUGUCGCUUGCCUCGUCGCUCCUGACACGCGUUGGGUCUGCGUGGAGCCCGAGCUCCGAUCGGGUGAAGUGGCGAACGUUGAACGCGGGUUUUGCCGUCGUCUCGCGACGAAACGCGACGAAACGCGACUGGCGACGAGACGUCAGUGACGUCACGAGACAUCGACGAGGGGUAGCGAGGCGUGGCGAAGUGAGACGAGAGUGACCGACAACAACUUGCCGAAGGUGACACCGUGCGAGUCGGACGAAAAACCGCUCGCGGCCCCGCGUCGCGUGCAAGUGUAUCGUAAUAAGAAUCGCGACAACCGCCUACGUGUUGCGCGCUCAACGUAGCGCUCGCUCGGGACAUAAUAACCGAUCACCGCCGCGUGUCUUAAUGCGAUUAAUACAUCAAACGCGCUCGGCUGUUCGAACGAUGUUCUCGAUGCUCAAUUAGGCACACGAUGCAUCCCUCACGGCGGUGAGUGACGGCGCGAUGCGAUGCGAUGCGAUGCGAUGGUGAUGCGCCGCUCACGUUCCCGUCCAUCGGAUAAUUAAUCUCAUUUCGCUCGGUAAUCGUUAAUUUUCUUUUUACUCCCUCUGUUGUUUUUGCACGCGGUGCGUAACAGUGCGAACGGCGACGAUUAUAAAUGGUGAAUUGGCUUUUUCGACGAAUGCCGCGGAUUUGGCAAAACGCAUUUCGCUACGUAUUAUAGGUUAAUUUCGGAUAUUUAGAAGCCGAAACGGGAGCACAUUCGCGUGGACGAACAAACAUUGAGAGUGCAGGUGUAACAUCUGGGGACUGGAGCUCUUCGACAUUUGUCUUUCUACGUUUCUUCGUCGACAAGGUUA
This is a long non-coding RNA of Monomorium pharaonis (pharaoh ant), 1220 nucleotides long. RefSeq lists it as uncharacterized. NCBI's taxonomy places the organism in Eukaryota, Metazoa, Arthropoda, Insecta, Hymenoptera, Formicidae. The record is from RefSeq and is a predicted model, not a curated record. The transcript has 2 exons.